UUAAGGGUCCUGAAGGAACGUUGAAGACGACGACGUUGAUAGGCCGGGUGUGUAAGCGCAGCGAUGCGUUGAGCUAACCGGUACUAAUGAACCGUGAGGCUUAACCUUACAACGCCGAAG
RNAcentral lists this ribosomal RNA (120 nucleotides) under Escherichia coli. Its description in RNAcentral is "partial 23S ribosomal RNA". It matches the Rfam family "Bacterial large subunit ribosomal RNA", at positions 2813 to 2925 of the family's 2925-position model. RNAcentral also lists the same sequence under 2 other names. Lineage: Bacteria; Pseudomonadati; Pseudomonadota; Gammaproteobacteria; Enterobacterales; Enterobacteriaceae. The record is from RNAcentral.